Molecule: long non-coding RNA, 4713 nt
Filed under: Canis lupus familiaris (dog)
Lineage: Eukaryota; Metazoa; Chordata; Mammalia; Carnivora; Canidae
Description: lncRNA (ENSCAFG00030014441.1)
Source: RNAcentral
UGGUCCUUAUCCAGUGGAAAUAGCGACAGUUACAUCUGCUUCUUGUAUACAUGCUGAAUGCUGGUCCUUCCUGUCUGUGAAUACUGCUUCCUCCUCAUAGCCAUCCCACACCAGGUUUCACCACCUGAAGGGUGCGGGGUCAGGGACUAUGUGUUCCAGCUGGACAACUUCUACUUGUGGACACCUGCGAUCUCGCACCUUCUUCUCAGGUACUGGAAGUCACUGUCCCACAGAAAAUAACAGUUAAAAAAGAAAUGAAUGAGACAUUUAAGAAUGAGACAUUAUAAAUGAGGAACGAAGUGUAAGGGAUAAGGUGAGUAUUCCAAAUGCUUGCAAAAAAAUCUCUAUGUGAUAUUGCCAUCAAUACAUCAAACUCAACAUAGUUUGAAUUUCUUUAACUUACUUUACCUCCUCUGUUCUUCACUUUCAUUAUAGUGCUACCUUUCCCUUGGUCACCCGUACUCCAAACCUUGGGCCAUCUUUGGCCACUCUGUCACUCAAUUGCUAUGUCGUAUCUGUUAUGUAUCUGGAAUUCAGUUGUACAUCUGUUUCUCUUUUCCUUCCCUCCUGCCCCUCUUCUAGUUCAUCACCACUUGUCAGGAUUUUUCAAUUACUUCCUAACAUCUCCCUCCCUUAAGAGUCCACUUUAGACCAACCUGAGUUUAAACCCUGGCUCUGCCAUUUAACACUUUUUUUUUUUUAAGGUUUAUUUAUUUAUUUGAGAGAGACAAAGAGAGAGCAUGUGCAUGAGAGAGGCACAAUGGAGAGGGGCAGAGGAAGAGGGAGAGAAGAGAAUCUCAAGCCGACUUGGUGCAGAGCCCGGAUGUGGGGCUCCAUCUCAUGGCCCUGAAAUCAUGACCUAAGCUGAAACCAAGAGUUGGACGCUCAACUGACUGUACCACCAAGGCACCACUGCCACUUAACACUUCGAUCUUGAACAUCAUAUACUUAACCUCUUUGCACCUCAGGCAUUCUCUGUAAAAUUAAUAAUAAUAUUCGACUCACAGGGUGAUUGUGGAGAUUGGAAAACUAGGACCCAGGCACUAAGUCUUAAAUGCAUUAUCUGUUACUUUUAUUGAAUGAGACAAUGUGUAUAAAGGGCUUGGCAUGGUGCGGGGCGCAUAGUAAGUACUCAGUCACUACUGGCUGCUCUGUAUGAUUAUUCUUCAUAAAAUUAAUUUUCCUAAUGAACAGUUUUGAUUACAUUCACCUUGCUCAGAAUCUUUCUUUGACUCCCUCCUGCCUGUUGAAAUAAGCCCAAACUCCUGUGCCAAACAUUCAAGGCUCUUGAUCUGUUCCUUCCUACCUUUCAAAUGUUCCCUUCUGAAUUUCAGUACUCACUGGACCCCAUGCUUGGUUUCCCCUCUCUUUAGCUUUGUUCAAGCUGUUCUCUCUCCCUGGAAUGUCCUUCCUCCUCCUAUCUUGCUCAGUAAAUAUUUGCUGAGUAAAUAGAUAGCGUCCUUUGGAAAAGCUCCCCCAGAGAAGACAGUUCUAAUCCGUGCUGUAUGCCCCUCCUGUGGUAGAGACACACAGGGCAGGCUAUGUUUAUUUUCAGCAGGACUCUGUGGGAGAGACAUAUAUACAAACAAAGAGGUUUUAAACAAGUCAACCCUGUUCUGUGUCUCCUAAACCCCUCCUGAAUACUGAUGACACAUAAAAGUAAUGCCAAGAGGUGGUAUAUUGCUCGCUCUUGCUCAGCUAACCUCUCCAUUUGGGGCAUAUUUAUUGAAUACCUGCGAGGUGCAACUUAUUGGAGAUGGUGGCGGGGGUGGGGUGGGGAAGUCAGAACACAGUUAAGACCAUCUGGUUGACAGAGAGAAGGCUGGCACAACAAUGGCCAACAGGGCCUAGGAAUUCAGAAUCAGGUUCUACACUCUGUGAUGCCCAAGAGAACUCUCUACAGGAUGAGCCUGUGCACUAGAGAAGGGGUUACAGAGGCUACGGCCAGAGGAAGCUUUGUGACAGCUGCGCCUAGGGAGAGUCUUCACGACCCCUGUGCUUGGAGAAUGUACGGUAUGCUAAGGCAAACAUCUGGUGUGUGCUGGGGAAAUGCAAACCAAUGACAUUUUCUAUUAGGUGAAGAGCCAGGCCCAGGGCAGUUUCCAAAAAGGUGGCUGUCCUCAAACCACGUGACUUGCUGCUGCUGGAGGGAUAGGUGCAAGGGGAGUUUUUUUCCCCCCAAAGUCCACUUCCCCACACCCAGUGCAGUCCAUGUGGUCCAGGCGAACUCAGUUGUUUAAAUACUAAGACAUCAUUAAUGAUAAGCAUGAGUUCAUGAAAAAAAUGAGUGUAUCUGUUCUUGUAAUUUUACAUAAAUUAACUCAAUAUCCAGGUUCUUGACAGGUUUCUUACCUAGGUUUUACUCCCAGAAUAUUCUUACCUCCUGGGUUACUCAGGAUAGGGUAGGAGCUCAAACCUAAAGCAAAGCUUUCUUUUUUUUUUUUUUAAGAUUUUAUUUAUUUAUUCAUAGACACACAGAGAGAGAGGCAGAGACACAGGCAGAGGGAGAAGCAGGCUCUACGCAGGGAGCAGGAUGCGGACCGGAUCCCGGGUCUCCAGGAUCACACCCCAGGCUACAGGCGGCGCCAAACCGCUGCACCACUGGGGCUGCCCUAAAGCAAAGCUUUCAAGAUGGAUUUGCAUUGAACUCGGCUUAAUCACCUACUACCUCUGUGAUCUUGAACCUUAGAGAAGCCUUUGUGACUUCUCAUUUGACAAGAGGGGUGAUACCAGUGAUACCACCAGUGUUAAGGGGUUUAUUGUGAGGAUUUAAGGAAAGGAUGUGUGUGGAAUGCCUGACAGAGUCAGUGCUCGGUAUCUGCUGGGUAUGAUCACCACAGCAAUUAUCGGAGGUCUCCCCACUAUCUGUCCCACCCCCAAACUCUCCUCCAAAGCUACCUAAACUAUAUAUGUAACAGCUUCCUCCAUGCUUCCCUCACAACUCUAAAUAACCAUAGUAGUAAAUAAUAAAUAAUAACAGCAGCAGCAACAUGGCUAUUAGAGAGGGCCUAAGACACACCAUGCCCUGGGUCUGGGGGGGGGGGGGGUACUUGGCAAAUCUCAUCUCCAAUCCUUUUAUAUCUACUCUACAGUGCAAGACACCGAAGCUCAGAAAAGGGAAGUGACUUCUUCAAAGAAAGUGGCAGAGUUGGAAUCAGAACUCAGCUGUGUUCUCUGUCCAAAGCCUAUGCUCUUUCUGCAUUUUUCUCUUCCAGAAAAAUAAUCUCCUUUCUAGAAAUGAAGAUCAGAGACACCAGCUAACCCUUAGUAACAUUCAGAACUUUUCUAACAGUCUUCCUACAGACCAUGUGUUCAUUCACUCACUCCUUCACUCCGCAAAUGUUUAUUCAAUGUUUACUAGGUGCUAGGGAUAUAAAAUUGAUUAAGAUAGUUCAUGUGUCUAAAGAGUUCACACUGUCAUGGAAAAGAGGGAUGCAUAAAUGGAUAAAUGGGGAAGCCAGCAGUUAAAUAAAAGAGCAUGGUGGGCCGCCAGUCUAGGUAGGGUUGAAGGGAGCAGUGAUGGUGUCAGGAAAAGCAUCACAGGAGGUGAUCUGAGUUGAUUCAUUAUUCUGCUCUUUAUUUCAUUCAUCCCAGAAACACAUUUUAAGUGACAACUAUGUUUCAGGCUUUAGGCUAAAUCCUGGCAUUAAGUAUAGCCAGGGCUUGGUUCAGUCUACGCCCCUAAGAAAUUUAUGUCUAGCCAGGAGGGAUGGAUCGUAAAUCAAUCAAUGUCACUAAAAUUGCAUUGAGGGGCACAGGGUCAUGGUUAAUGCUCUAGGCCAAGGGUGGCCUCAGAGGCCUAGUUUCUUUUAAAAGAACUGUUUUUUCCCCCUUUUUCCUGUCUUAUUGGUGUUUAGGCACUUUAAACACCUUUGAGGAUAUCCCACAGAUACGCCAACUAAAAAUAGCAUAUCCAAAACUAAAUUUAUAUUGUACGAUAUUCUCCAGGGAAGGAAGCCAUAAUUCAAAGUUCCAUCUCCUUCAUUUCUCCAAGAUGUUGUUAGUUAUAGAGAUAUCACCCCAUCUUGACGUAUUGUAGUUCAAAUCUUUACACAAAAUGCAGUAUUAUGUUAAAAAAUAACACAAUAAGAAAAUAACUGCCCACAAUUGCCCUCUCUGGAGUGAACCACAGUACCGGACAAAGUGGAGCUCUGUUAACUGCGUGACUCUCCUCUCGUAAAUCAUCCCUUCCAUUGAGUGAGUCUCAGACCCAGUAAGUGAAAGCAGGUUCAACAAAAAGUCUUCAAAAGUGUGGAAACUUAAUAUAUGAUAAAGGUGUCCUUGCUCAACUGUGUGGUCAUUUGGAACAAAAAUAAAGUUGGAUCCAGACUAUAUGCCUUUAUACCAAAAAACAAAACAAAACAAAACAAGACGAAUACAGGAUAUUUAAACUUUGAAAAAUGAAAUCUAGAAGCGCCAGAAGGAAACAUAGGAAGGUAUUUUUCCUCUUCAUAAUCUCAGAGUAGGAAAUGGUUAAAGCCAUAAGAGAAAGUAUUGAUAAAUUCAGUCACAUAAAAAUAAAAUUUUUCUGCAUAGCAAAAAAAUCACCAUAAGUAGUCAAAAUCAAAUAACAAACUGGGCAGAGGGGAGUAUGUGAAAUUUAGAAUAUAGCAAAAAUAAUAUAUAACAUCAUUGAUAUGUAAUAUAUAUAAUAUAUAUAAUAAAAUAUGUCCUUAUCCUAUAGAUAUAUAUUAUAUAUCCUAUAUAUAUAUA